AUUGAACGCUGGCGGCAUGCUUUACACAUGCAAGUCGAACGGUAACAGGCCGCAAGGUGCUGACGAGUGGCGAACGGGUGAGUAAUGCAUCGGAACGUGCCCAGUCGUGGGGGAUAACUAUCCGAAAGGAUAGCUAAUACCGCAUACGAUCUGCGGAUGAAAGCGGGGGACCUUCGGGCCUCGCGCGAUUGGAGCGGCCGAUGUCAGAUUAGGCAGUUGGUGGGGUAAAGGCUCACCAAGCCAACGAGCUGUAGCUGGUCUGAGAGGACGACCAGCCACACUGGGAAUGGGACACGGCCCAGACUCCUACGGGAGGCAGCAGUGGGGAAUUUUGGACAAUGGGCGCAAGCCUGAUCCAGCAAUGCCGCGUGCAGGAAGAAGGCCUUCGGGUUGUAAACUGCUUUUGUACGGAACGAAACGGCUCUGGUUAAUACCUGGGGCUAAUGACGGUACCGUAAGAAUAAGCACCGGCUAACUACGUGCCAGCCGCCGCGGUAA
This 498-nucleotide ribosomal RNA is filed under the name uncultured bacterium. RNAcentral's name for it is "partial 16S ribosomal RNA". It matches the Rfam family "Bacterial small subunit ribosomal RNA", at positions 30 to 523 of the family's 1533-position model. The record is from RNAcentral.